RNAcentral lists this ribosomal RNA (657 nucleotides) under Triticum aestivum (bread wheat). RNAcentral's name for it is "partial small subunit ribosomal RNA". Lineage: Eukaryota; Viridiplantae; Streptophyta; Magnoliopsida; Poales; Poaceae. The record is from RNAcentral.
GUGACCAAAAAUCAGUUUGGUUUCAUGCCUGGGAGGUCGACCAUGGAAGCCAUUUUCUUGUUACGACAACUUAUGGAGAGAUAUAGGGAGCAAAAGAAGGACUUGCAUAUGGUGUUCAUUGACUUGGAGAAGGCCUAUGAUAAGAUACCGCGGAAUGUCAUGUGGUGGGCCUUGGAGAAACACAAAGUCCCAGCAAAGUACAUUACCCUCAUCAAGGACAUGUACGAUAAUAUUGUGACAAGUGUUCGAACAAGUGAUGUCAACACCGAUGACUUCCUGAUUAAGAUAGGACUGCAUCAGGGGUCAGCUUUGAGCCCUUAUCUUUUUGCAUUGGUGAUGGAUGAGGUCACAAGGGAUAUACAAGGAGAUAUCCCAUGGUGUAUGCUCUUUGCAGAUGAUGUGGUGCUAGUUGACGAUAGUUGGACGGGGGUAAAUAGGAAGUUAGAGUUAUGGAGACAAACCUUGGAAUCGAAAGGGUUUAGGCUUAGUAGAACUAAAAUCGAGUACAUGAUGUGCGGUUUCAGUACUACUAGGUGUGAGGAGGAGGAGGUUAGCCUUGAUGGCCAGGUGGUACCUCGGAAGGACACCUUUUGGUAUUUGGGGUCAAUGUUGCAGGAGGAUGGGGGUAUUGAUGAAGAUGUGAACCAUCGAAUCAAA